Molecule: non-coding RNA, 28 nt
Filed under: Rattus norvegicus (Norway rat)
Lineage: Eukaryota; Metazoa; Chordata; Mammalia; Rodentia; Muridae
Source: RNAcentral
UGACAGAAAUCUUAACCGUUUGAAAAGU